CCAUCGGUGGUUCAGUGGUAGAGUGCUCGCCUGCCACGCGGGAGGCCCGGGUUCGAUUCCCGGCCGAUGCU
This 71-nucleotide transfer RNA is filed under the name Cordylochernes scorpioides. Its description in RNAcentral is "tRNA-Gly". It matches the Rfam family "tRNA". Rfam says of the family: Transfer RNA (tRNA) molecules are approximately 80 nucleotides in length. Their secondary structure includes four short double-helical elements and three loops (D, anti-codon, and T loops). The record is from RNAcentral. Lineage: Eukaryota; Metazoa; Arthropoda; Arachnida; Pseudoscorpiones; Chernetidae.